Molecule: small RNA, 131 nt
Filed under: Escherichia coli
Lineage: Bacteria; Pseudomonadati; Pseudomonadota; Gammaproteobacteria; Enterobacterales; Enterobacteriaceae
Description: RtT sRNA
Rfam family: RtT RNA
About the family: This family represents a bacterial cis-regulatory element known as RtT RNA. The exact function of RtT is unknown although it is thought that it may be involved in changing the cellular response in relation to amino acid starvation.
Source: RNAcentral
GUUUGCACUCAUCGGGGAAGGGUGAGAACCUUCGACUAAGGUUCGAUUCGAGCGAAAGCGAGAGAACGUUGCCACAGGCAACGGCCCGAAGGGUGAGGAGCGAAGCGACGAAUAAUCCUUCCCCACCACCA